UCCUAGAGAUGUGAUUGCCAUAUUUUAAAACUUUCAAAAGUGUUAAGUUGCCUGCUACAUGGGACUAAUUUAUUAAAAGUUUUCUGUUCAUUUUGAUUAGGGGAUUCAUGUGUCGCAUUAUGGCUUAGUGGACAGAAGAUUCAGGAGAUGGGAUUUCAUUCUACUUUCACGAUGACAUGGUGUAUGAACUGAAAUAGGUUACUUAGUAUUUUAUCUUUUAGUCUUUGUAUGUCAUAUAUUGGAUGCGAGGGUGCUUUGGCUCACAGUCGUCAUCCAUGGACUGCCAAGAUUCAUUUGACUGACCGAUUUGGCCAACCAGCCGCCAUGCUGAUAUGACGUCUAGGACAACCUGCUGGACAAAGGAGCUGUGUGGAGGAGAAUUGGACCCAGCUCAUCAGCAUCUCCAAAGCUUCAGAAAUAGUUUUCCACGUGUGAAUCAAACCUAUCUCCAGAGGACUCUGGCCAAAUUCUUCAAGUGUUUUCCUUGAAUCCUCUUACCUGAAUCAUGGUGAGAAUGAAGCACACCUCCCACAGAUCAGUGCAUCGGUCCCAGACAACUCUCUCUCUAAAGCAGGAUUUCUCAAUCUCAGCACUUUUGACAUUUGGCUCCUGGUAAUUCUCUGCUGGGGAGGGGGAGGGAGCGAUCCUGUUCCUUGUAGGAUGCAUAGCAGCAUUCCUGGCCUCUACCAACUAGAUGCUAGUAGCACCCCCCCACACACACACACACACAACCCCCACAGUUGUGACAACCAGAAAUGUCUCCAGAUAUGGUCAAAUAUCCCUGGGGGCAAAAUCACCUCCAGUUGAGUCACUGACUUAAAGGCUUCAUUUCUACAAAUCUCUCUACUUCCUAGUGACUUCCUUACCUCCUCUUUUUGGGGGAUGAAUGUGGGCUGUGGGCUAAUGCUGGAAGAAGAGCACCCCAAAUGCAAACCCUGCACAGAUGGUCUAGUACCUUGCUUUAGAAUGUGGGAACCCUUGCACCCUGUAAGACCUCAUCCAACCCCGAGCGUUGGUUGAACACAUCUCCAGGUUGGGCCUCAAAAUCAGCAAGAUACAGAGCAGCAGGGACAGCUGACAAUAACCAACAGCUUGAUUGAUAAGCCCUAAUAGAUGAACAGAAUGUGUUUUCCAUCAUCCGUGAAAUAAUCUAACAAAAAAACAAAUAUGGAGAUCCUGAUCCAGUAGGUCUGGGGUGGACCUGAGAUUCCGCAUCUCCACAAACUCCCAGGUGGCGCCGAGACUGCAGGACCAUGGGCCACACUUUGCAGAGCAAGGAACUAGAUGACCUUUCUAGAUGAUCAUCUCAAGGAUCCCACAUCACUCAGAAUUUUUCCUUCCUGUGCCCACUUUCCCUCUCUCUCUUUCUGAAUUUACUUUGGAAUAUCCAUUUCCUUAAUUUUUAUUUUUAAACAGCUUUAAUGAGUGAGAUAUAAUUCGCAUACCAUACAAUUCACACAUUUGAAGUGUACAAUUCGGUGGGUUUUAGUAUAGUCAGAGAGUUGUAUAAUCUCACCACCAUCUAAUUUUAGAACCUUUUUCAUCAGCUCUAAAAGAAACCCUGUAACCACUAGCAGUCACUCCCCACACCCCACUCCUCCCAGUCCCUGGAAACCACUAAUCUACUUUCUGUCUCUAUGGAUUUGCCUAUUGUAGAUAUUUCCUAUAAAUGGAAUCAUUCAAUAUGUGGCCUCCUGUGACUGUCUUCUUUUACUUAUCGUGCUUUUGGGGUCCAUCUAUGCUGUAGCCUGGAUCAUAGACUGCCCACCCUUUGCAGUCCUUUUCAGCCUACCUUAAGACUUACCAGAGGCCCGGUGAGGAUCAGGCAUCAUUAAUUGUUAUAUCUCCAGCCCUGAGAACAGUGCCUGAUUUCUAAUUAAGUGUGCCAGAAACAGGUGCUGAGUGACUGCAUGAAAUGCAAUGCUAGCUUAGCUACAGAUCCUAGAGAGCACAUUCAAGGGAUAUAGACAGAAAGAGGUGGCCAAGAGGUUUUGGCACAUGUAUAGGGAGUGGUGGGGGUGAGGUGACUGUGGUUGUUAAUACUGUAAUGUUGCUAUCAAGUGGGACUGAGAAGCAUGACUAAGUGGCUUUCCAGUGCACACAAUAAACUCAGUUGUCACUAACCUUUACCGGGACUACAUUUUCAGAGCACUUGGUCUAACAUUAGAGCUAUUCCAAGAAGGUCAAGUUAAUUUAUGUAUUUCAGUUUAAUUUAUGCAUUGAUUAUUGGAAGCCACUUCAGUUUUAGGGGCCCUUUAUGGCAGUUUUAGGAAAUUUGGAAUGAAUGGCAUGAAAACUUUCUGGAAAUUGUGGUAACCGAAUUCAAUUCAGUUAUAGUCAGCAAGCCGCUAAUGCGCACCUACUAUGCAAAAAGUAUUGUGGAUAUAAAGAAGAAUCAGACAUCUUUCCUUUAAGAAGUUUGCAGUUUAACCAGUGCUCCUUAAACUUUUAAAAAAUAAUCCUUGAAAUAUUUAAUACAUCUUUGAAAAAGGAGAGUUUUAUCCAUUUCUAGUAUGAGAGAUGGAGAAAAUCCUCUUGAAUAUUGGUUUGAAACCUGUUUCCACCCUUUUUCUUACAGAAAUCAGAAGCUGCAGAUAUACAAAUAAUAUCAUUUCACAUUUAAACACGAAAAUAAGGGAUUGAAACACGGGAAUAUUAAUCAGAAAACCUGAUUGCAAAUUAUAGCUGCCUUCAAAUACGUCCCUUUCCAAUUUCUUCUCUACCCCCAGUAAGGUAAUAUUUCUUUAUGCAAAACUAAUAUCACUCAACUGCUUAAAAUCCCUCCAUAACCUAUUGACUUUCACAUAACCACCUCUUCAUUUAUGCAAUGGUAACAAAACAAGCCAGCUAGCUAUAUGUUUCUCAGAAGACAUACCAGAAACCAAAUGACAUAGAACAGUUUCAAAAUAAAAGGAUGAACAGAAACAUACCCUGAAAUACUAACAAAAGAUACCAUAUGUACAAUAUUAAAAACAGAGUAAAUCGAAUUUAAGUAAAAAAAAAAAAAUUACAUCUUUAUUGAGAUAUAAUUCAUAUUACAUGAAAUUCAAUCUUCUUUUCCCCAAACACUCCCCUUUUCCACCUCCUCACUCCAUCCCCUGGGAACCUCUAACCUACCUUUUGUCUGUGAAUUCACUAUUUCUAGUCACCUCAUAAGUGAUAUCAAUACAAUAUUUAUCCUUAUGUGUCUUGUUUAUUUCACUGAGCAUUUUCAAGUUUCUUCCAUGUUGCAUAAUGUCUCACAGCUCCAGUCUUUCUUAUGGCUGAAUAAUAUUUCAUUUUGUGUAUGUUACACAUUUUGUUUAUCCAUUCAUUUGUUGACGGACAUUUGGGUUGUUCCAAUUUCUCUGCAA
Molecule: long non-coding RNA, 3353 nt
Organism: Choloepus didactylus (southern two-toed sloth)
Lineage: Eukaryota; Metazoa; Chordata; Mammalia; Pilosa; Megalonychidae
Exons: 5
Source: RefSeq, a predicted model, not a curated record